GAUGAACGCUGGCGGCGUGCCUAAUACAUGCAAGUCGAGCGAACGGACGAGAAGCUUGCUUUUCUGAUGUUAGCGGCGGACGGGUGAGUAACACGUGGAUAACCUACCUAUAAGACUGGGAUAACUUCGGGAAACCGGAGCUAAUACCGGAUAAUAUUUUGAACCGCAUGGUUCAAAAGUGAAAGACGGUCUUGCUGUCACUUAUAGAUGGAUCCGCGCUGCAUUAGCUAGUUGGUAAGGUAACGGCUUACCAAGGCAACGACGCAUAGCCGACCUGAGAGGGUGAUCGGCCACACUGGAACUGAGACACGGUCCAGACUCCUACGGGAGGCAGCAGUAGGGAAUCUUCCGCAAUGGGCGAAAGCCUGACGGAGCAACGCCGCGUGAGUGAUGAAGGUCUUCGGAUCGUAAAACUCUGUUAUUAGGGAAGAACAUAUGUGUAAGUAACUGUGCACAUCUUGACGGUACCUAAUCAGAAAGCCACGGCUAACUACGUG
RNAcentral lists this ribosomal RNA (497 nucleotides) under uncultured bacterium. RNAcentral describes it as "partial 16S ribosomal RNA". It matches the Rfam family "Bacterial small subunit ribosomal RNA", at positions 28 to 507 of the family's 1533-position model. The record is from RNAcentral.